Molecule: ribosomal RNA, 462 nt
Filed under: uncultured bacterium
Lineage: Bacteria
Description: partial 16S ribosomal RNA
Rfam family: Bacterial small subunit ribosomal RNA
Source: RNAcentral
GACGAACGCUGGCGGCGUGCUUAACACAUGCAAGUCGAACGGAAAGGCCCUUCGGGGUACUCGAGUGGCGAACGGGUGAGUAACACGUGGGUGAUCUGCCCUGCACUUUGGGAUAAGCCUGGGAAACUGGGUCUAAUACCGAAUAUGAUCAUCGGCUUCAUGGUCGGUGGUGGAAAGCUUUUGCGGUGUGGGAUGGGCCCGCGGCCUAUCAGCUUGUUGGUGGGGUAAUGGCCUACCAAGGCGACGACGGGUAGCCGGCCUGAGAGGGUGACCGGCCACACUGGGACUGAGAUACGGCCCAGACUCCGACGGGAGGCAGCAGUGGGGAAUAUUGCACAAUGGGCGCAAGCCUGAUGCAGCGACGCCGCGUGAGGGAGGACGGCCUUCGGGUUGUAAACCACUUUCAGCACAGACGAAGCGCAAGUGACGGUAUGUGCAGAAGAAGGACCGGCCAACUACGUG